GACACGCUGGCGGCGUGCUUAACACAUGCAAGUCGAACGGUGACGAGGAGCUUGCUCCUCUGAUCAGUGGCGAACGGGUGAGUAACACGUGAGCAACCUGCCCCAGACUCUGGGAUAACAGUUGGAAACAGCUGCUAAUACCGGAUACGAGACGGAGAGGCAUCUCUACCGUCUGGAAAGUUUUUCGGUCUGGGAUGGACUCGCGGCCUAUCAGCUAGUUGGUGAGGUAAUGGCUCACCAAGGCGACGACGGGUAGCCGGCCUGAGAGGGCGACCGGCCACACUGGGACUGAGACACGGCCCAGACUCCUACGGGAGGCAGCAGUGGGGAAUAUUGCACAAUGGGCGAAAGCCUGAUGCAGCGACGCCGCGUGAGGGAUGACGGCCUUCGGGUUGUAAACCUCUUUCAGCAGGGAAGAAGCGAAAGUGACGGUACCUGCAGAAGAAGCACCGGCUAACUACGUG
RNAcentral lists this ribosomal RNA (464 nucleotides) under uncultured bacterium. RNAcentral describes it as "bacterial SSU rRNA". It matches the Rfam family "Bacterial small subunit ribosomal RNA", at positions 33 to 507 of the family's 1533-position model. The record is from RNAcentral.